RNAcentral lists this ribosomal RNA (441 nucleotides) under uncultured ammonia-oxidizing beta proteobacterium. RNAcentral's name for it is "bacterial SSU rRNA". It matches the Rfam family "Bacterial small subunit ribosomal RNA", at positions 214 to 647 of the family's 1533-position model. Lineage: Bacteria; Pseudomonadati; Pseudomonadota; Betaproteobacteria. The record is from RNAcentral.
UGCGCUUAAGGAGCGGCCGAUGCCUGAUUAGCUAGUUGGUGGGGUAAUGGCUUACCAAGGCUACGAUCAGUAGUUGGUCUGAGAGGACGACCAUCCACACUGGGACUGAGACACGGCCCAGACUCCUACGGGAGGCAGCAGUGGGGAAUUUUGGACAAUGGGCGAAAGCCUGAUCCAGCAAUGCCGCGUGAGUGAAGAAGGCCUUCGGGUUGUAAAGCUCUUUCAGUCGAGAAGAAAAGGUUGUGACUAAUAAUCACAAUUUAUGACGGUAUCGACAGAAGAAGCACCGGCUAACUACGUGCCAGCAGCCGCGGUAAUACGUAGGGUGCAAGCGUUAAUCGGAAUUACUGGGCGUAAAGGGUGCGCAGGCGGCUUUGUAAGUCAGAUGUGAAAUCCCCGGGCUUAACCUGGGAAUUGCGUUUGAAACUACAAAGCUAGAGU